GUGGGGAUUGGAUGAAAGUCACGCACUCACGCUCAUGCAUACACACAUUCUGGUUGGUGAUGUGUUUCUCAUAAAGGAUGUCUCAUGUUUCUUGCAGUGCCAUGUAGAUGAGACAUACGCCAUGCCAUUAACUUGUAUUUAGACAGCUGACUCAGUUUAGACGGGCUUCUCUCUCCUUCUGCAUGACAUCAUGUCGAUGGCUGAUUGUGCUCAGCACGUUUAAGUGCACUUCUUUGUUCCUGAGCUUGACAAGUGUUCUGUUGUAUCAAAGGUGUCACUGACCUUCCCAUUACAGCUGCAAUAACCACACCCCAGAAUUCUGUCUCAUUAAAAAGUGUUAGUCUAUAUCAUUGCUCCAUGGGAGACAUUUUAAUACAGUGCAUGUUUUCCAAGUGGACAUUGCACAAAUACGCAUUUAUGAUGACAACUUUGUUUUCCCCAGUUUUUAAAUUACAUCAUCCCUUUGGUUCAUCAGUGGACAAAUUACCGUCUGCAAAAAGUCUGUACAUUGUAUAAAAGAACAUUUACAGCUGUAGGCAUCGUGUUAACAAAACUAAGCAACUUCAGAAAAAGCUCACUAGCUAUUCAUCAUGAAACACCAGGUAGAUGAGGGAUGGUGUUUAUUCAGUUUCAAAGUCCUCAUGUUCUGUACCCGAAAUGAACAGCUGGGCAAGUUCUCAAUCAAACACGCCAGGUUCCAACUCGUCAUUGUCGGAGUCAGUCGCGUGGCCGUGCGACUCCUCAGAAAUGAUGCCGGCUUUUACGAAAGCUCGAAAAACAGUGCAAGCAGACACGUUAUCACAAGCAUCCACAAUCCAUUCACAAAUUGUGGCGUAACUCGCCCGGCGCUGCCUCCUAGUCUUAGUAAAGCUGUGUUCGCCGUCUGUCAUCCAUGGCUCCCACGCCGCUCACAACUUCACUUUGAACGCCCUGUUUACACGGAUGUCCAGCGGUUCGAGUUCCUUCGUCAAGCCUCCUGGAAUGAUGGCAAGCUCCGAGUUAUUGCACUCAGUCGAAUGGAGACUGUAGAGAUGUUUCUCCCUGCUGUUCUUUGCUCAUUAAUCCAUUGCUCAAGUUGGUCUUCCAACACGGGCCACCUCGCCUUGUUUCCGCGGAAACUCAGCUUCGUCUUCUUGACUUGGCGAAGCUCGUUUUCCUGCUUCCUCCCCUUGCGAACCAUGGAUUCCUUGAUCUUGAAUUCUCUCGCGGCUGCUCGAUUCCAAUGUUCCUCCGCGUAACUAAUAGCUUGCAGUUUAAACUGUGCUUCGUAAGCGUGUCUCUUCGUAGGGGCCAUUUUCGGGGGUCCUUAGCCAAACCGAUGCACAUACCGGCGCUAUAUACCUACUGGGGGCGUGUCUUUAGCCUCCUCUGUCACGCGCACCCUUCCCCCUUUCCGUCCGCAUACUGUCCUCAGUCACGUCCGCCUUCCUCUAUAUCAGCAGCGUGUCGGCAGGAAAUGCUCCCAGUCAGUCAAGCGGAGCGCUCAUUAAAGUCACACAAUAACAUUUACAGAUUUUGGAACUCGGUGCACACAUAAGGGGCGCCGCAUUAUAACGCGCCCCAUCCAUUUUGGAGAAAAUGUAAGACUUUUAAGUGCGCCUUAUGGUCGUGAUAUUACGGUACACAUGGUGAUCACCUAAAAUCAAUACAUGUAACUAAGUAUACACAUACAUAAACAUUUCAGACAGCCCGCAGUUGGAAAAGGUUUUAGGUAUAGACCCAGGCACUUAAUGGACUGUUACACGUCUGUUCUUAUUAUUCACGUCAUUUCAGUCAGUCCCUUUAGUGUUUGACACGAUGACAACAUUCUGUGGCAGGUGAAAAACAAAAACAAAAACGCGUGACAAAGCAAGUGCCCAUAAACACCAUGAAUUUUUUUCCCCCAUUCUUCCACCCACUAGGGGCACUACGAAGAGGAAUGUCUAGAUUUCAGAAUACGAGGAAGAAAACAGACUAAGAAGAAUUUAGCGUAAUAGAAGAAGAAGUUAGCGUUGGGGGACACUAACGGCUAUUUAUACAGUCAAUGACUGUAUCAGCUGUUUCUGCUGUGUGCGCCUUGGCCUCUUAGGGGCAGUGUGGUGCGAUGCAUGCAUGGAGCUACAGGCUUCUUUAUACUGGCGCGGGCGGAGACCACGCUGACGUCACUGCGGCUAUUCCGCAUGCAGUUUGCCUUUAUACUCGAGCGCAACCCAUGUGCGCAGUUUUGAAAAUGCAGUUCUCCUCCAAGUCGGGGGUGUCGCUACGGCUGGUAUUGGCUAGGACACCACAGGGUGGAGUUUCCUCUGCAUUUUUUGGCCAUUUCCGGUAGUCAUUUUUACUUUCCUUUCCAGAACAAGGAACAAAGCAACAACAAUGGCGACCGUGGAACAGUGUCUGCUCGAACAAAUGGACCUAGAUGACCAGAUCAUACAUUUAAUUAUGCUGCAAAAUGGAUCAAGAAGGCAGCGGCGUAGAUGGUAUGAAGAACCAAGGGGAACGCUGAGUACGUCAUCACAGCAUGUGACUAAAACGGACCAAUCACGAGAGAUGAUCUCCGCCGCAUUCUACACGCAGCAACAGUUUUUGCAAUGUGUCGCAUAAGGGUCGCGCGACCCAAUGUCUCGGUCACGUGAUGCAAUGUGGGCGCUGUCGGCCGCGCGAACGCGGGAGUAUAAAGAGGCCUUACUCAUUUACUGUAAGCUAAAAAAAGAGUAGAAGAAGAAAGUCUCGCUAUAACGUUAAUAAACUCAUUUUUCCCAGAUUAGGAAGAAUAUAUGCCUGUGAUAUUGUUAUUUUAUCUGCCUGUACGUGUUACUAUGGCGUUUGUGUGUGAAUAUUCGUUAUUUGAAGGUAAAUCCCUCCCGUGACCAAAUGCUAAUAUUGGCUAGCCCAUCAAUAGGGUUUUCGAUUGCCUGUUAGCAUUAAAAGACGUGUGUCUUGUAUUUAAAUAUAAAUGAGUGUAAUUAUUUUACUCCAACUGGUGUGUCAGUAAAAAGUUUAAAGCAUGCUCAGAGAGGGCAGAUUAACAUUCUACAGGCUGCAAAGGACGAGCUGCGGUAUGAGGCUAGCAGCAUUACCUUUGGCUGUCGUCUUGAGGCUAACUUGAAGACCGUUUAUCCGGUCAGGCGGCGCUGGUCACGGUUUCUCCUUGCGUCAUCACAAUAUCCUGUCUUGGACGACCGACACUGUAAAUGCAGUUUUGGGCCAUUUUGACUAACGGCAUUAUAGCUCAUGCAACACAUUCUGUUUUAAUGUGUUCUCAUCUUUCACUCGGUCUAAUGUAUACUCACGCACCCUAUGACAUAACACCAUUAGUGUUAUAUUGUCUCCUCCAGGGACAUGUUUGCACUCUGGGUAACAUUUCUGCAAAACAUUACACAGUGUUUCAUGGGGUAUGACAUGAAGAGAGAAUUUCAGCCAUAUGUUAGUCUGAGGUGGCCUCUAAAGUUGCAUAUCUCAUUAAAAACAUGCCAGAUGGGUGAUGUCAGUUCAAGAAAAAAAAAUGCUUGUGGCUAUACUUUGUUUUUCCCUUUGCAAAGAAGGAGCAAAGUAUGUCACUCUCAAUGAGACAGUAUAUUUUUGCAUGAUUAUCCGAAAGACAAAUGAUGAUGCUACUUGUGAACACCAAGGGCCUGAUUGCCUAAGGUCCCAACUAGUGGGCGCAAAAAUGUGUGUUCACUCAUCCUAAAACAUUGGUCACAGUAUUGGCAACAGGUGUAAAAUUGAUUGAAACCGGCAUAUUUAUACAAGGGUUUUGCACUUUAGGUAGUGCUGAUCCUUUUCACCUUGGAACAUUUGGGAGAGCACCACGAGCGCAAAAUAAAGUUUGAAAUGAUGGAAUUGAAAGUGGAAGAAGUAGAAGAUAAAAACAAACGUGAAUGAGUUACAGAAAAUGCAUCGAUGUUGCCGAUAAUUUAAGCAAGGAACCACAUAAAAGCUAUGUUUUUUUUUUUUUAAUUUAGCUCGUCCUGAGUGCAUGGCAAUUGGAGGCAUCUGCCUAUCCAGCCUAACACUGGGGAAAACUUCAAAAACCUGAAAGGAGUGUCAGGUGAUAUAGCAUGGCUCUUUCUUGUGAGUUGCUCCAAGUAUGCACAUAGAUCAGGGGUGUCAAACUAAUUUUGGUUGCAGACAUUAUGGUUUAGUUAUGGUAAUUGUCAGGGGUGUGACGAUUAAUGUUAGCAACAUUUCGAUUUGUAUCACAAUUCGGGGUUGCCAAAUCAAUUCAAGGAGAAUACUGGUUCAUUUAAAAUGAUACAGUGGCUGGAAAUCGAUUCAAUAACCUUUUAGCCAAAAAUACAUCCAGUGUGACUGUGAAAUAAAUACCUGCAUAAUAUAAUAGAUUUCUUAGAUUCUUAUUGUUUCUUGCAAGGGAAUCGGAUAAAAACUAAUUAUGCUCAUUAAAUAUGAAGAUUUUCCUGAUCUGCUUUCCUUUUAUGUCUUAUUUGUCAUAUACUGCCCUGCAGUUCCAUUAUUGGAGCUUGGAGGGCUCUUUGCGUCCUCUCUCUCUCUCUCUCCCCUCUCUGUUUUCAGCACCUGUCUCCAAUCAGCCUCAUCACCAUCGAUAUUUAAGCCUGCCUGUUCCAGGAAAUCCUCGCCAAAGUAUUGCAGCCUCUCCUAGCGUGUUCCCCCAUGUUCCUGUCCCACGUCAUUCGACCAAGCCAGCCGCCUGUUCUGUCCACUGCCUGCCACCUGUCCACGCCACCUGCCUGCCAACACAUCCAGGACCACCUCCAUAACCCUUGCUCAAUAAACUGUUCAUCAUUUUA
Phyllopteryx taeniolatus (common seadragon) is the source of this 4745-nucleotide long non-coding RNA. RefSeq lists it as uncharacterized. The record is from RefSeq and is a predicted model, not a curated record. The transcript is spliced from 2 exons. NCBI's taxonomy places the organism in Eukaryota, Metazoa, Chordata, Actinopteri, Syngnathiformes, Syngnathidae.